Molecule: long non-coding RNA, 119 nt
Organism: Clupea harengus (Atlantic herring)
Lineage: Eukaryota; Metazoa; Chordata; Actinopteri; Clupeiformes; Clupeidae
Exons: 3
Source: RefSeq, a predicted model, not a curated record
AAGUACUUUGGCCGCCAGGGGAGCAAGACCCUCACAAAGAAAGAGAAGAAGACCAUGACACAGUACAGCGAGUUUGUCCAGGAGGUGGUCAGAGCCAAAAAGCAAAAACUGUACGAGGG